ACACACGCUUCACGUAAAUUUCAUGCAAUUUGUUAUGUUUUAUGUGCCUCGUCUGGCGGCAGCUUCAACUCUGACGGGGGCGCUGGCAGCUCGAAUGUUACGCCUGGGAAUCUCAAAAUGACAGACUUCAAUUUAUACAAUUUAUUUUAUUAAGUCAAACAUUUGUCUCCCCAUGUGUGGGUUUGUGUGUGUGUGCGUGUGUGUGAGUCGUUUAAUAUGGGCAAUUUUUUUUCUGACCAGCCUCUUCCUGGAUUUCCGUUCUGAAAAUCUAUAAAAAAAAAAAAUAAAACAAAAAAGGAAAUUGAAAAUCAAAAUGUGAGAGCGAAACAGACAGACAGCAUUACGAGUACAUGAAUUUGUCCCUUUAUGGCGCGUUAAAAUUUCAUUUUUAGUGCACACAUAAAAUCUAGGAAUUGCCAAAUUUCAAUUGCUUCUUGGCUCGGAUGCGGCUGGCAGAAGGGAAGACCUGGCCUGGAAGACCUGCCCAACUAAGCGCCCAUAUAAAUCUCAAUUUAUGUUGCCUAUUUAGGCAUUUUGGGCACGCUGCUGCCAUUUGGGUUAGGCUCGCUUUAGGCCUCAAAAUUAUUGAAUCUAAUUAACUUAAAUGAAAUGAAUGAAGACUACAAAUGCGUCUGCUGAACUCGUAAAACUUGGUCAAGCCCCGUGGCAAUGAGUGCCUGUGCGUGUGUGUGUGUGUGUGUGGGGCUCAUUUAAUUUAUGGAUGUGUAUAUAAAUUCAUUUGGAGCUCUUUAAUUGCAGCUUAAUGGCAGGAACCUUGUAAUGUCAGCUCCCCACGCCCCGCUUCGGCCUGUGUGUACCCCAAUGCCUGAGCCUGAAGGUCAACAGAUUGAUUGAGGAUUAGGGCGUCCGUUCGUUGGAAGUGAAAGACCUCAAAGUGUGUUCGGCUGAAAUUGUUUAUUUGCCUUAUUUUUCUUCAAUUGAUGGCAUGACAAAAUUCUACCGAAUCCUUGUAAUUAAUCAUUUAAGCAAAGGCGGCAACUCCUCACAGCUCCUCACAGUUCCUUGGAGCUGUCCUUCUAAUAUUUAUAAAGCAAAUUGGCUGCCAGAUUGUGUGUUUGCGUAUUUAUGUACUUUAAAGGGCUUUUUGAUGUCCUCAUUUCAUUGGGCUUACAUAAAUUGAAAGUAAACAGCUUAGCUUUUCGGCUGUAUGGGAAAA
Drosophila virilis is the source of this 1177-nucleotide long non-coding RNA. RefSeq lists it as uncharacterized. Lineage: Eukaryota; Metazoa; Arthropoda; Insecta; Diptera; Drosophilidae. The record is from RefSeq and is a predicted model, not a curated record.